This 1268-nucleotide long non-coding RNA is filed under the name Betta splendens (Siamese fighting fish). Its description in RNAcentral is "lncRNA (ENSBSLG00000022670.1)". Lineage: Eukaryota; Metazoa; Chordata; Actinopteri; Anabantiformes; Osphronemidae. The record is from RNAcentral.
CCCUGUCGGCCCGAGAGAGGUCGUUCCAGUCCCUGUCACCCUCGGAGCCGCAGCGCCCGCCGGCCUCCAGGAGGAGGUCGCGCCAGCUGCAGUUCCUGCGCACCUCCAGGAGGAGGUCGCGCCAGCUGCAGUUCCUGCGCACCUCCAGGAGGAGGUCGCGCCAGCUGCAGUUAAUGCGCACCUCCAGGAGGGGGUCGCGCCAGCCGCAGUUCCUGCGCACCUCCAGGAGGGGGUCGCGCCAGCCGCAGUUCCUGCGCACCUCCAGGAGGGGGUCGCGCCAGCCGCAGUCCCGGCGGACCUCCAGGAGGGGGUCGCGCCAGCCGCAGUCCCGGCGGACCUCCAGGAGGGGGUCGCGCCCGUCGCAGUCCCGGCGGACCUCCAGGAGGGGGUCGCGCCCGCCGCAGUCCCGGCGGACCUCCAGGAGGGGGUCGCGCCCGUCGCAGGUCCUGUCGACCCCCAGAAGGGGGUCGUUCCCGUCGCAGCUCCCGCUGCACCUGCAUCUGUACCUGGCGGCCCGGCUCCGGCCGCACCUGCAUCGGUUCCUGGCGGCCCGUCUCCGGCCGCACCUGCAUCGGUUCCUGGCGGCCCGGCUCCGGACGCUCCUGCAUCGGUUCCUGGCGGCCCGGCUCCGGACGCUCCUGCAUCGGUUCCUGGCGGCCCGGCUCCGGCCGCUCCUGCAUCGGUUCCUGGCGGCUCGGCUCCGGCCGCAUCUGCACCUGUGUCUCGUCGCGGUGGUCCAAGGAGGACGCCGCUGGUUCCUGUCUCUCGUCGCGGUGGUCCAAGGAGGACGCCGCUGGUUCCUGUCUCUCGUCGCGGUGGUCCAAGGAGGACGCCGCUGGUUCCUGUCUCUCGUCGCGGUGGUCCAAGGAGGACGCCGCUGGUUCAUGUUUCUCGUCGCGGUGGUCCAAGGAGGACGCCGCUGGUUCCUGUGUCUCGUCGCGGUGGUCCAAGGAGGAUGCCGCUGGUUCCUGCCUCGUCCUUGGCUCGGCUGCCGGACUGGUGGCCUCGCCCUCGGCGCCUCCUGCUGCGUGGAUGGCGCUGCCUCCUGCGGCGACGUCCACCUCGACUCCUCAGCCUCCCGGAUCAGCGUCCGCCAGGAGGACGCUGGGGCACUGGGUGUGCUCCUCUGCCCCAGCGGCGGCUGGGCAGGAUCUCGCCGCGUCUCCACCCGCCUUAAGAGGGAGCGGCGAGACGUCGUUGUUUUUCCUGUUCGUGGACUUUUGUCUUGUCGUGUGGACUCUUGUUUUGGCCCCCCUCCGGUCCUCCCU